ACACGACUCUCGGCAAUGGAUAUCUCGGCUCUCGCAUCGAUGAAGAGCGCAGCGAAAUGCGAUACGUGGUGCGAAUUGCAGAAUCCCGCGAACCAUCGAGUCUUUGAACGCAAGUUGCGCCCGAGGCCAUCCGGCCAAGGGCACGUCCGCCUGGGCGUCAAGC
Molecule: ribosomal RNA, 163 nt
Filed under: Bulbophyllum occultum
Lineage: Eukaryota; Viridiplantae; Streptophyta; Magnoliopsida; Asparagales; Orchidaceae
Also listed under: 1 other name
Description: 5.8S ribosomal RNA
Rfam family: 5.8S ribosomal RNA
About the family: 5.8S ribosomal RNA (5.8S rRNA) is a component of the large subunit of the eukaryotic ribosome.
Source: RNAcentral